RNAcentral lists this ribosomal RNA (477 nucleotides) under uncultured bacterium. RNAcentral describes it as "SSU rRNA". It matches the Rfam family "Bacterial small subunit ribosomal RNA", at positions 26 to 518 of the family's 1533-position model. The record is from RNAcentral.
AGGACGAACGCUGGCGGCGUGCUUAACACAUGCAAGUCGAACGGAAAGGCCCGCUUGCGGGUACUCGAGUGGCGAACGGGUGAGUAACACGUGGGCAACCUGCCCCUAGCUCUGGGAUAACAUUUGGAAACAGAUGCUAAUACCGGAUACCAACUCGCUGAGGCAUCUCGGCAAGUUGAAAGUUUUUCGGCUAGGGAUGGGCCCGCGGCCUAUCAGCUUGUUGGUGGGGUAACGGCCCACCAAGGCGACGACGGGUAGCCGGCCUGAGAGGGCGACCGGCCACACUGGGACUGAGACACGGCCCAGACUCCUACGGGAGGCAGCAGUGGGGAAUAUUGCGCAAUGGGCGAAAGCCUGACGCAGCGACGCCGCGUGAGGGACGACGGCCUUCGGGUUGUAAACCGUCUUUCAGCUCUGACGAAGCGAAGUGACGGUAGGAGCAGAAGAAGCACCGGCCAACUACGUGCCAGCAGCCGC